GACGAACGCUGGCGGCGUGCUUAACACAUGCAAGUCGAACGGAAAGGCCCUGCUUUUGUGGGGUUCUCGAGUGGCGAACGGGUGAGUAACACGUGAGUAACCUGCCCUUGACUUUGGGAUAACUUCAGGAAACUGGGGCUAAUACCGGAUAGGAUCUCCUGCUGCAUGGUGGGGGUUGGAAAGUUUCGGCGGUGGGGGCUGGACUCGCGGCUUAUCAGCUUGUUUGUGGGGUAGUGGCUUACCCAGGCUUUGACGGGUAGCCGGCCUGAGAGGGUGACCGGCCACAUUGGGACUGAGAUACGGCCCAGACUCCUACGGGAGGCAGCAGUGGGGAAUAUUGCACAAUGGGCGGAAGCCUGAUGCAGCAACGCCGCGUGCGUGAUGACGGCCUUCGGGUUGUAAACCGCUUUCGCCUGUGACGAAGCGGGAGUGACGGUAAUGGGUAAAGAAGCACCGGCUAACUACGUG
This 468-nucleotide ribosomal RNA is filed under the name uncultured bacterium. Its description in RNAcentral is "partial 16S ribosomal RNA". It matches the Rfam family "Bacterial small subunit ribosomal RNA", at positions 28 to 507 of the family's 1533-position model. The record is from RNAcentral.